This 879-nucleotide ribosomal RNA is filed under the name bacterium. RNAcentral describes it as "bacterial SSU rRNA". It matches the Rfam family "Bacterial small subunit ribosomal RNA", at positions 50 to 901 of the family's 1533-position model. The record is from RNAcentral.
GAUAGUGCAGUCGAGCGUUGGAUUAAGAGCUUGUCUUAUGAAGUUAGCGGCGGACGGGUGAGUAACACGUGGGUAACCUGCCCAUAAGACUGGGAUAACUCCGGGAAACCGGGGCUAAUACCGGAUAACAUUUUGAACCGCAUGGUUCGAAAUUGAAAGGCGGCUUCGGCUGUCACUUAUGGAUGGACCCGCGUCGCAUUAGCUAGUUGGUGAGGUAACGGCUCACCAAGGCAACGAUGCGUAGCCGACCUGAGAGGGUGAUCGGCCACACUGGGACUGAGACACGCCCCAGACUCCUACGGGAGGCAGCAGUAGGAAAUCUUCCGCAAUGGACGAAAGUCUGACGGAGCAACGCCGCGUGAGUGAUGAAGUCUUUCGGGUCGUAAAACUCUGUUGUUAGGAAGAACAAGUGCUAGCUGUAUAUGCUGGCACCUUGACGAUACCUAAUCAGAAAGCCACGGAUAACUACGUGCCAGCAGCCGCGGUAAUACGUAGGGGGCAAGCGUUAUCCGGAAUUAUUGGGCGUAGAGCGCGCGCAGGUGGUUUCUUAUGUCUGAUGUGAAAGCCCACGGCUCCCACCGUGGAGAGUCAUUGGAAACUGGGAGACUUGAGUGCAGAAGAGGAAAGCUGCAAAUCACAUGUGUAGCGGUGAUAAUGCGGAGAGAUAUGGAGGAACACUAGUCGCGAUAGGCGACUUUUCUGGUUUUGUAACUGACACUGAGGCGCGAAACGUGAGAGGCGCAUACAGGAUUAGAUUACCCUGCUAGUCCACGCGUAAACGAUGAGUGCUAGGUGAUUAGCAGGGUUUCCGCUCUUUCAGUGCAGAAUUCAACGCAUUAAGCACCUCCGCCUGGGGAGACGGGCGGCAAGCAUAAAACC